Molecule: ribosomal RNA, 208 nt
Filed under: uncultured Mesotoga sp.
Lineage: Bacteria; Thermotogati; Thermotogota; Thermotogae; Kosmotogales; Kosmotogaceae
Description: partial 16S ribosomal RNA
Rfam family: Bacterial small subunit ribosomal RNA
Source: RNAcentral
AGCGUAGGUGGCCUAACAUGUCAACUGUGAAAAACCCGGAGCUCAACUCCGGACUUGCAGUUGAAACUGGUAGGCUUGAGGACGGUAGAGGAAGACGGAACUGCCAGUGUAGGGGUAAAAUCCUUAGAUAUUGGCAGGAACGCCGGUGACGAAGGUGGUUUUCUGGGCCGGUUCUGACACUGAUGCUCGAAAGCCAGGGGAGCGAACG